CUAAUUCUAAUCAAAUUCUAGACCAAAUCUUAAACCAAAUCUUAAUCAAAUCCUAGAUCUUAAUCAAAUUCUUAACAAAUCUUGUAGCAAAAUGAAACCUCAAUAACAAAUGAUUGAAUUAUUGAUAUCAACUCAAAAUUUGAAUACUUCUUAAUCACUUAGUUAGAAACAAGUACAAAAAAGAUGUAAUUAAUUACACUUAUUAAUUGAGAGAAAUAUAAGAUAAUCCAAUCAAGUAUUGGAUAGCCUUUUAUUCCAAUCUAAAUACUAA
RNAcentral lists this long non-coding RNA (271 nucleotides) under Physcomitrium patens. Its description in RNAcentral is "long non-coding RNA (PPAT_LNC010739)". Lineage: Eukaryota; Viridiplantae; Streptophyta; Bryopsida; Funariales; Funariaceae. The record is from RNAcentral.